RNAcentral lists this long non-coding RNA (2912 nucleotides) under Daucus carota (carrot). Its description in RNAcentral is "long non-coding RNA (DCAR_LNC000839)". The record is from RNAcentral. Lineage: Eukaryota; Viridiplantae; Streptophyta; Magnoliopsida; Apiales; Apiaceae.
GUCGGGAAAGGCAAACCUUGGGGAAGAUCUUUACAGUAACAUGACUGCAGAAUCACCCACGGUAGAAGAGGUGCUUCAUGCCCUCAAUUUAAAAUCUGAACAUAGAGCCCUUGAAGUGAUUAACAGGUUGGAGGCAGCAGCACUUGCAUGGAAACAUAGAAUGUUAGAAAAACGCAACUAUGAAUCUCCAAUUCAUACAUCAUUGUCUUUUCUAAAGGAUUCAGAAUCUGAUAUGGAUAAAAUGGAAUACUUGUUAAACCAGACUGAAAGUCUUGUCCAGGAAAUUAAAGCCAGAUUCCCAAAACUUCCCCAAUCGUUCCUGGAUGUCACAAAAAUCCAAUAUGGCAAGGUAUGUACAGUUUCAUUUAUAUCGCACAAGAAACAACCUCAAUGUCAGAAAUAUCACUUCUUGAUGUUCAGUGUUUUCAUUCUUCCAUAGUAGUAGUCAGCUAUUGAAUGAUCAGAUGCCCUAAUAAUUCAGCUUAAUGUGUUUACAUGCUUACAGGAUGUUGGUCAGGCAAUCCUAGAGGCUUAUUCUCGGGUUCUUGCAAACUUAGCAUUCAGCAUACUCAGUAGGAUAGGAGAUGUUCUGCAGGAAGAAGUUUUAAGUAAUCCAAAUUCCCCUGCUGCAACAUUUAACUUUCCUGGAGUAAACCAUGUCAAUCAAAGAAUGCCGAGUCAGCAUGUGAGACACUUUCUCAUUAAUCAAAUGAAUAUUGUAGAUGGCCGGUUUCGCGAGCCCAACACUGUCAAGUAUAGCAAAUAUGAGUCCUGGGACGAUAAACACAAAAGAAUGGCAAGUCAGCAUGUGAGACACUCUCUCAUUGAUCAAAUGAAUAUUGUAGAUGGCCGGUUUCGCGAGCCCAACACUGUCAAGUAUAGCAAAUACGAGUCCUGGGACGAUAAACACAAAAUUAGCAUUGUCCAAGGCCAUAACAAAUCUUGCAGGUAUGUAGUACUACUUUUUACUAGGAGAGUAUGAAGUAAUAUACGCUUAAUUUUUUUAAACUGUUGCAAACGAGUCCAUCUAAAACUUCAGAAUCCCUCGAACUUGAGACCUCCGCCAAACCUAGCUCUGAUAUCAUGUUAGAUAACCAGUCCAUCUAAAACUUUAAGGUGUUAUAUCAAUAGAAACAUGAGAUGAAUAUUUAAAUUUGCAGCAUUGGUUUUCGGAGAGCUAUGGAAACUGGAACCUUUGUCUGAGGAGAGGAAGAAAAAGUGGCGACAAGAAAUGGACUGGAUACUAUCGCCUACUAACUAUAUGAUCGAGCUGGUUCCAGCUAAACAACAUAGCAUCAAUGGCCAGACCAUGGAGGUAUAUAUAUCUUGUAUCGGAAUAGCUAUGAGCUAAAAUACCAUGUCGGACUAAUAACUCUCUUGAAAUUAUAAGGUGUUAGUAGAAGCCACCAAAUAGAUCGUAUAAACACUUACAUAUUGUCACUGAAGCAGAUAAUGACACCUAAGGCUCGAGCUGACAUCCAUAUGAAUCUUCCAGCACUUCAGAAGUUGGACUCCAUGCUCAUUGUAAGGUGUCUCCAGCCUAUCAUCAGAAUAACCUGGAGUAAACCUUAACUAAUUUUAAGCAUAUUGAAUUCACAGGAAACGUUGGAUUCUAUGGUUGGCACUGAAUUUUGGUACGUAGAAGGGGGUAGCCGAGCAGAAGGAAGGAGCAAUAGUUCUAGGCAAAGCAAUAGAUGGUGGCUUCCGUCACCAAAAGUACCUGCAGCAGGGCUAUCAGAUACUGAAAGGAAGAAAUUGCUAAAUCAGGGUAAAGUAGUUCAUCAAGUUUUCAAGGCUGCAAAAUCCAUUAAUAAAAAUGUCUUGCUCGAGAUGUCUGUUCCUGAUUUUAUACGGGAGGCACUUCCUAAGGCAAGCAAUCAAUACUUGAAUUACUAUGUCAACGAAAAAUUCAGUGUCAAGGAUGAGUUUUGAUUACUGUGUACUUUUUCUUUGCAGUCGGGAAAGGCAAACCUUGGGGAAGAUCUUUACAGUAACAUGACUGCAGAAUCACCCACGGUAGAAGAGGUGCUUCAUGCCCUCAAUUUAAAAUCUGAACAUAGAGCCCUUGAAGUGAUUAACAGGUUGGAGGCAGCAGCACUUGCAUGGAAACAUAGAAUGUUAGAAAAACGCAACUAUGAAUCUCCAAUUCAUACAUCAUUGUCUUUUCUAAAGGAUUCAGAAUCUGAUAUGGAUAAAAUGGAAUACUUGUUAAACCAGACUGAAAGUCUUGUCCAGGAAAUUAAAGCCAGAUUCCCAAAACUUCCCCAAUCGUUCCUGGAUGUCACAAAAAUCCAAUAUGGCAAGGUAUGUACAGUUUCAUUUAUAUCGCACAAGAAACAACCUCAAUGUCAGAAAUAUCACUUCUUGAUGUUCAGUGUUUUCAUUCUUCCAUAGUAGUAGUCAGCUAUUGAAUGAUCAGAUGCCCUAAUAAUUCAGCUUAAUGUGUUUACAUGCUUACAGGAUGUUGGUCAGGCAAUCCUAGAGGCUUAUUCUCGGGUUCUUGCAAACUUAGCAUUCAGCAUACUCAGUAGGAUAGGAGAUGUUCUGCAGGAAGAAGUUUUAAGUAAUCCAAAUUCCCCUGCUGCAACAUUUAACUUUCCUGGAGUAAACCAUGUCAAUCAAAGAAUGCCGAGUCAGCAUGUGAGACACUUUCUCAUUAAUCAAAUGAAUAUUGUAGAUGGCCGGUUUCGCGAGCCCAACACUGUCAAGUAUAGCAAAUAUGAGUCCUGGGACGAUAAACACAAAAGAAUGGCAAGUCAGCAUGUGAGACACUCUCUCAUUGAUCAAAUGAAUAUUGUAGAUGGCCGGUUUCGCGAGCCCAACACUGUCAAGUAUAGCAAAUACGAGUCCUGGGACGAUAAACACAAAACAAGUUUAGUGACAGGCACACCUGGCCAGAGCAGAGUAUGGUG